CCUACGGGUGGCAGCAGUGGGGAAUAUUGGUCAAUGGGCGCAAGCCUGACCCAGCAACGCCGCGUGAAGGAAGAAUGCUUUCGGGUUUUUAACUUCUUUUCUCAGGGACGAAACAAGUGACGGUACCUGAGGAAUAAGCCACGGCUAACUACGUGCCAGCAGCCGCGGUAAUACGUCGGUGGCAAGCGUUAUCCGGAUGUACUGGGUGUAAAGGUCGUGUAGGCGGGAAAGCAAGUCAGAUGUGAAAGCCAUGGGGUCAACCUGUGUCGUGCAUUUGAAACUGUCUUUCUUGAGUACUGGAGAGGCAGGCGGAAUUCCUAGUGUAGCGGUGAAAUGCGGAGAUAUUAGGAGGAACACCAGUGGCGAAGGCGGUCUGCUGGACAGCAACUGACGCUGAGGCGCGAAAGCGUGGGGAGCAAACAGGAUUAGAUACCCGAGUAGUC
RNAcentral lists this ribosomal RNA (443 nucleotides) under uncultured bacterium. Its description in RNAcentral is "partial 16S ribosomal RNA". It matches the Rfam family "Bacterial small subunit ribosomal RNA", at positions 338 to 795 of the family's 1533-position model. The record is from RNAcentral.